RNAcentral lists this ribosomal RNA (981 nucleotides) under uncultured Prevotella sp. RNAcentral describes it as "bacterial SSU rRNA". It matches the Rfam family "Bacterial small subunit ribosomal RNA", at positions 509 to 1503 of the family's 1533-position model. Lineage: Bacteria; Pseudomonadati; Bacteroidota; Bacteroidia; Bacteroidales; Prevotellaceae. The record is from RNAcentral.
CAGCAGCCGCGGUAAUACGGAAGGUCCAGGCGUUAUCCGGAUUUAUUGGGUUUAAAGGGAGCGUAGGCUGGAUAUUAAGUGUGUUGUGAAAUGUAGACGCUCAACGUCUGACUUGCAGCGCAUACUGGUUUCCUUGAGUACGCACAACGUUGGCGGAAUUCGUCGUGUAGCGGUGAAAUGCUUAGAUAUGACGAAGAACUCCGAUUGCGAAGGCAGCUGACGGGAGCGCAACUGACGCUUAAGCUCGAAGGUGCGGGUAUCAAACAGGAUUAGAUACCCUGGUAGUCCGCACAGUAAACGAUGGAUGCCCGCUGUUGGUACCUGGUAUCAGCGGCUAAGCGAAAGCAUUAAGCAUCCCACCUGGGGAGUACGCCGGCAACGGUGAAACUCAAAGGAAUUGACGGGGGCCCGCACAAGCGGAGGAACAUGUGGUUUAAUUCGAUGAUACGCGAGGAACCUUACCCGGGCUUGAAUUGCAGAGGAAGGAUUUAGAGAUAAUGACGCCCUUCGGGGUCUCUGUGAAGGUGCUGCAUGGUUGUCGUCAGCUCGUGCCGUGAGGUGUCGGCUUAAGUGCCAUAACGAGCGCAACCCCUCUCUUCAGUUGCCAUCAGGUGAUGCUGGGCACUCUGGAGACACUGCCACCGUAAGGUGUGAGGAAGGUGGGGAUGACGUCAAAUCAGCACGGCCCUUACGUCCGGGGCUACACACGUGUUACAAUGGCCGGUACAGAGGGAUGGUGUAAUGCAAAUUGCAUCAAAUCUUGAAAGCCGGUCCCAGUUCGGACUGGGGUCUGCAACCCGACCCCACGAAGCUGGAUUCGCUAGUAAUCGCGCAUCAGCCAUGGCGCGGUGAAUACGUUCCCGGGCCUUGUACACACCGCCCGUCAAGCCAUGAAAGCCGGGGGUGCCUGAAGUCCGUGACCGCAAGGAUCGGCCUAGGGCAAAACUGGUGAUUGGGGCUAAGUCGUAACAAGGUAGCCGU